Molecule: ribosomal RNA, 348 nt
Filed under: Triticum aestivum (bread wheat)
Lineage: Eukaryota; Viridiplantae; Streptophyta; Magnoliopsida; Poales; Poaceae
Description: partial small subunit ribosomal RNA
Source: RNAcentral
AUGGGUGGCAGUUUAAUCGAGGAGAGGACGCGUUCGGAUCCAGGUGCUGCGAGAUCCGAGAUCCAGGGGCGAGAGGGGAUUUGGGGUAAUCGAGGAGAGGAAGGAAGACGUAAUCCAGAUGGGAUGCAUACGUCACCUGGACGGCGGCGAGGUGGAGCCGGUGAGGCGGGGCGUCGGGGUCGGCGGCGGCGAGGGUUUCUCGUGGGGAGGUUGGGGCGGAGACGAGGGCGAGGAAGGGUGAGGGGGGCGACUCGCCUUCUGCCUAGAUCUCGAUCCGGUCUGGUGGGGGAUGGAUCAACGGCCAAGAUUACACGGUGUCUCGGAUGGACGGUGGGGCGUCUUCAGUGA